GGCCGGAUAAGGUGUUUGCACCGCAUCCGGCAAUCAAUGCCUGAUGCGACGCUGUUGCGUCUUAUCAGGCC
This 71-nucleotide non-coding RNA is filed under the name Escherichia coli. RNAcentral's name for it is "Nucleoid-associated noncoding RNA 4 (CssrE)". It matches the Rfam family "Nucleoid-associated noncoding RNA 4 (CssrE)". From Rfam's summary of the family: In E. coli small RNA transcribed from repeated extragenic palindromic element (REP325) called nucleoid-associated ncRNA 4 (nRNA4) collaborates HU protein in condensing the DNA. The secondary structure but not the sequence of the RNA is important in nucleoid condensation. The record is from RNAcentral. Lineage: Bacteria; Pseudomonadati; Pseudomonadota; Gammaproteobacteria; Enterobacterales; Enterobacteriaceae.